CCUACGGGAGGCAGCAGUGGGGAAUUUUGGACAAUGGACGAAAGUCUGAUCCAGCAAUGCCGCGUGCAGGACGAAGGCCUUCGGGUUGUAAACUGCUUUUGUACGGAACGAAACGGUCUGCUUUAAUACAGUGGGCUAAUGACGGUACCGUAAGAAUAAGCACCGGCUAACUACGUGCCAGCAGCCGCGGUAAUACGUAGGGUGCGAGCGUUAAUCGGAAUUACUGGGCGUAAAGCGUGCGCAGGCGGUUAUAUAAGUCAGAUGUGAAAUCCCCGGGCUCAACCUGGGACCUGCAUUUGAGACUGUAUAGCUAGAGUACGGUAGAGGGGGAUGGAAUUCCGCGUGUAGCAGUGAAAUGCGUAGAUAUGCGGAGGAACACCGAUGGCGAAGGCAAUCCCCUGGACCUGUACUGACGCUCAUGCACGAAAGCGUGGGGAGCAAACAGGAUUAGAUACCCCGGUAGUC
This 465-nucleotide ribosomal RNA is filed under the name uncultured bacterium. RNAcentral's name for it is "bacterial SSU rRNA". It matches the Rfam family "Bacterial small subunit ribosomal RNA", at positions 338 to 795 of the family's 1533-position model. The record is from RNAcentral.